RNAcentral lists this ribosomal RNA (497 nucleotides) under uncultured bacterium. RNAcentral describes it as "partial 16S ribosomal RNA". It matches the Rfam family "Bacterial small subunit ribosomal RNA", at positions 28 to 507 of the family's 1533-position model. The record is from RNAcentral.
GAUGAACGCUGGCGGCGUGCCUAAUACAUGCAAGUCGAGCGAACAGACGAGGAGCUUGCUCCUCUGACGUUAGCGGCGGACGGGUGAGUAACACGUGGAUAACCUACCUAUAAGACUGGGAUAACUUCGGGAAACCGGAGCUAAUACCGGAUAAUAUAUUGAACCGCAUGGUUCAAUAGUGAAAGACGGUUUUGCUGUCACUUAUAGAUGGAUCCGCGCCGCAUUAGCUAGUUGGUAAGGUAACGGCCUACCAAGGCAACGAUGCGUAGCCGACGUGAGAGGGUGGUCGGCCACACUGGAACUGAGACACGGUCCAGACUCCUACGGGAGGCAGCAGUAGGGAAUCUUCCGCAAUGGGCGAAAGCUUGACGGAGCAACGCCGCGUGAGUGAUGAAGGUCUUCGGAUCGUAAAGCUCUGUUAUUAGGGAAGAACAAAUGUGUAAGUAACUAUGCACGUCUUGACGGUACCUAAUCAGAAAGCCACGGCUAACUACGUG